This 269-nucleotide ribosomal RNA is filed under the name uncultured Spirochaeta sp. Its description in RNAcentral is "partial 16S ribosomal RNA". It matches the Rfam family "Bacterial small subunit ribosomal RNA", at positions 1114 to 1382 of the family's 1533-position model. The record is from RNAcentral. Lineage: Bacteria; Pseudomonadati; Spirochaetota; Spirochaetia; Spirochaetales; Spirochaetaceae.
GUUGCCAGCAAGUGAUGUUGGGGACGUCAGAUGGAACUGCCGGUGACAAACCGGAGGAAGUGGGGACGACGUCAAGUCAUCAUGGCCCUUAUGUCCUGGGCUACACACGUGCUACAAUGGCCGGUACAGAGCGCAGCUAGGCCGCGAGGCGGAGCGAAUCGCGAAAAGCCGGUCUCAGUACGGAUUGGAGUCUGAAACCCGACUCCAUGAAGUUGGAAUCGCUAGUAAUCGCGCAUCAGCAUGGCGCGGUGAAUACGUUCCCGGGCCUU